GCCUCGGUAGCGCAGUAGGCAGCGCGUGAGUCUCAUAAUCUCAAGGUCGUGGGUUCGAACCCCACCCGAGGCA
This 73-nucleotide transfer RNA is filed under the name Trichuris suis (pig whipworm). It matches the Rfam family "tRNA". Rfam says of the family: Transfer RNA (tRNA) molecules are approximately 80 nucleotides in length. Their secondary structure includes four short double-helical elements and three loops (D, anti-codon, and T loops). Further hydrogen bonds mediate the characteristic L-shaped molecular structure. tRNAs have two regions of fundamental functional importance: the anti-codon, which is responsible for specific mRNA codon recognition, and the 3' end, to which the tRNAs corresponding amino acid is attached (by aminoacyl-tRNA synthetases). tRNAs cope with the degeneracy of the genetic code in two manners: having more than one tRNA (with a specific anti-codon) for a particular amino acid; and 'wobble' base-pairing, i.e. permitting non-standard base-pairing at the 3rd anti-codon position. Lineage: Eukaryota; Metazoa; Nematoda; Enoplea; Trichinellida; Trichuridae. The record is from Rfam by way of RNAcentral.